RNAcentral lists this ribosomal RNA (427 nucleotides) under uncultured bacterium. Its description in RNAcentral is "bacterial SSU rRNA". It matches the Rfam family "Bacterial small subunit ribosomal RNA", at positions 355 to 774 of the family's 1533-position model. The record is from RNAcentral.
UGGGGAAUUUUGGACAAUGGGGGCAACCCUGAUCCAGCCAUGCCGCGUGAGUGAAGAAGGCCUUCGGGUUGUAAAGCUCUUUCGGCCGGGAAGAGAUCGGCGACUCUAACAUAGUCGCUGGAUGACGGUACCGGACUAAGAAGCACCGGCUAACUACGUGCCAGCAGCCGCGGUAAUACGUAGGGUGCUAGCGUUAAUCGGAAUUACUGGGCGUAAAGCGUGCGCAGGCGGUUUUGUAAGACAGAUGUGAAAUCCCCGGGCUUAACCUGGGAACUGCGCUUGUGACUGCAAGGCUAGAGUACGGCAGAGGGGGGUGGAAUUCCACGUGUAGCAGUGAAAUGCGUAGAGAUGUGGAGGAACACCGAUGGCGAAGGCAGCCCCCUGGGCCUGUACUGACGCUCAUGCACGAAAGCGUGGGGAGCAAACA